RNAcentral lists this ribosomal RNA (885 nucleotides) under Klebsiella pneumoniae. RNAcentral's name for it is "bacterial SSU rRNA". It matches the Rfam family "Bacterial small subunit ribosomal RNA", at positions 38 to 901 of the family's 1533-position model. Lineage: Bacteria; Pseudomonadati; Pseudomonadota; Gammaproteobacteria; Enterobacterales; Enterobacteriaceae. The record is from RNAcentral.
AGGGGGGGGCCCUUACCCAUGGCCAAGUUCUAGCGGGUAGCACAGAGAGCUUGCUCUCGGGUGACGAGCGGCGGAUGGGUGAGUAAUGUCUGGGAAACUGCCUGAUGGAGGGGGAUAACAACAGGGAAACGGUAGCUAAUACCGCAUAACGUCGCAAGACCAAAGUGGGGGACCUUCGGGCCUCAUGCCAUCAGAUGUGCCCAGAUGGGAUUAGCUAGUAGGUGGGGUAACGGCUCACCUAGGCGACGAUCCCUAGCUGGUCUGAGAGGAUGACCAGCCACACUGGAACUGAGACACGGUCCAGACUCCUACGGGAGGCAGCAGUGGGGAAUAUUGCACAAUGGGCGCAAGCCUGAUGCAGCCAUGCCGCGUGUGUGAAGAAGGCCUUCGGGUUGUAAAGCACUUUCAGCGGGGAGGAAGGCGAUAAGGUUAAUAACCUUGUCGAUUGACGUUACCCGCAGAAGAAGCACCGGCUAACUCCGUGCCAGCAGCCGCGGUAAUACGGAGGGUGCAAGCGUUAAUCGGAAUUACUGGGCGUAAAGCGCACGCAGGCGGUCUGUCAAGUCGGAUGUGAAAUCCCCGGGCUCAACCUGGGAACUGCAUUCGAAACUGGCAGGCUAGAGUCUUGUAGAGGGGGGUAGAAUUCCAGGUGUAGCGGUGAAAUGCGUAGAGAUCUGGAGGAAUACCGGUGGCGAAGGCGGCCCCCUGGACAAAGACUGACGCUCAGGUGCGAAAGCGUGGGGAGCAAACAGGAUUAGAUACCCCUGGUAGUCCACGCCGUAAAACGAUGUCCAUAUGGAGGUUGUUGCCCUUGAGAGCGUGGCCUCCGGAGCUAACGCGUUUAAAUCGACCGGCCUGGGGGAGUACGGCCCCAGGGUUAAAACU